This 4328-nucleotide long non-coding RNA is filed under the name Androctonus crassicauda. Lineage: Eukaryota; Metazoa; Arthropoda; Arachnida; Scorpiones; Buthidae. The record is from RNAcentral.
UCUUAAACUAAAUUCUCUCAAUAUGAUUUUUUUUUUUCGGUUUAGUGAUGGAGAAGAAAAUAAUUCAAAAAUGAAAUCUAAUAAAACAAUGAUGUAAAUUAGAUGGCAAAGAGUAAUUUUUUUUUUAUUUUAAUGGUUGAAAGUUCUUCAUUAUCCCUAAAUUAUUUAUAGCCUAUCUCCAUAAAUAUUAUAGAUUAUUUACAGGAUUUAUUUUUCAAUUUUCCUUCUAUUCCGCUUUCCUCCUAUCCGUUUGAAUCAAUUUUAUAUUCUUCGUCCAGCUAGAAAAGUCGAAGAUUGCUUGUUGAGGUAAGCUUUCUCAAUAGCCUAGUUGACAUUGCUCUGCAAUACAAAGAAGAAUAUCCUUUAUAUAUACACGUUGUUCGAAAACUCUUUUAUUAAAAUUUAGAAUAUAUUGCUUAAGAUGGUUUUAUUUUAUCCGAAAAGAGAAUAUUUUAAGAUAUUCUCCGAAGUAUAAAAUUAGUGGAUUGAAAUAUUCAAAAAAUUCUGAUGAUUCUUACUUCACGCUUUAAUUAUGUUACCCACCGCUUUUCCUUAACCAUUUUCACAGUGGUCGAUAUGGCAGUGGUUACACGGUACGGUAUUCGAGUGAAUUUGCAUAAUUUCCAAAAAAUGACUGGGAAAUUAAUAUGACAACAUUAGGAAACCACUGAUAUCGGUUGGUUAAUGAGAUGUUUUCAACAAAAUACUUCAAACCAGGCGAUUAGGUGACUGGUUGGCUCUUAUAAUUUGCCAGAGUAGUAAUUUCUAAUUCGUGUCAAGUGGUUUAAGGUGAAUGCCAUACUGUCAAAUAAGCCUUUGUCUUCCUCCUUUAUUACUCCGUUAUUAUGGCAGUGUGCUCUUAAUGACUCGGUCCGUCACUUCCUUCCAGAAGAGAUUCGACAAAGGAGGAGUCAAAAGCACAUGUAUCUAAUUUCCCACUUCCAUCAAUGUCGUAGGAAUUGUGUGCUAAUGACCUCAUCAACAAUCUGCCAUCAGCAAAUGGCACUGUAAGAGAAAACUAUCCAUAAAUCCUUGGGCCAACCUAAUUUGCCUAACCUUUGUGUCUCGAAUCUAGCACAACAACGCUUCAUGCGUCGAGAAGUGAAGAAAAAAACUUGGCUAAUAGAUCUUAAAUAUAUCAGUUCAUUUAUAUGGAGCAGACAAGGAGAAGUCGUUAAGAAUCCAACAUUAAUGGAUCUUGUCUCCGUUGAAAAGAACAGUGAGGAUGUCGCGAAAUGUUCUAGGUCUUUGUUAGCAGAUGUUCACAAUAGCUGGUCGUUGAGAAUUUUUUCUUUUUUAAUUUUAAAGCAAAAAUCUUAAAUUUUUAUAAAAUUGCGCUACAGUUUUAAAGAGAAAUAUUUUCAAUUAGAGACUCGUGUGCCAUAGACCAUUUGCAAAUCUUAGUCGGGUCCUUCAUUUGUCAUACAGGACUUCCACCCCAUCUGCAAACUAACCAGACGUUCACACGUCAGAUUUAUGACGAAGAAGAAGAAAACCUGGUAACUCGGUUAGAAAAACGCAUCACGGAAUUCUGAACGCCAUAUUAAUGUCAAGAAAUAUUUUGUUUAUGUUUAAAAUUUCAAAUUUAAACGAUUGUUUUUGAUGAGCGAUCGUACCUAUGGAGAAUAGCGUGAAGAUCUAUACCGCGCGAUUUAUCAAAGUUCUGAGCACGUCCUUAUCGAUGUGUAUCAUCAGUGGACAGUUACUCGCUCAAGUAUAGAAAGCUUUCUUCUUGCCCAACACUUUUAAGUUUAUAAAAACUUAGGUAUUUACAAAGGAUAAAAAAUGCAUGUUUUUUGUAUUGAUCCAAGGAAAAGAAUAAAUCUAAAUUGCUUAUUUAAUGGUGUCUAACUGUUCUGGUUAAAUAUGGCAAGACGAAACGCUGUCAUCUGAGAAAAUAGCUAAUUUGAUGCCGGAUGAAGUUGCUUUAGGAAAAGAAAUCUUUUUCCCUCGGUAUCCGUCUUAAUUAUGAAAUUAUCGGUUCAGUUUGAAACUUUUCCUCAAAAAUUCUGUUAACUGUCAAAAGGAAGUUUACUUAUCGUCCAUCGCUUUCAUUUUCUUUAUUCUUCUCCCUCAGUUAUAAACAGAAUAAUUGGAAAGUUAUACAAGUUAUCAAUUUCUAGGUCUACCUAUUCAUUUAUUUUGAUUUUAUUUUUCGGUUGGUGCUCUUACCAGCCACUCGGAACUUCUCCGGUCGUUUUUUCUCCAUAUAAAAUCCACCCGAAGACAUUCUAGAAUCCACUCUAAAGCAUUUGGCCAAACGAUCCCGUUAUUAAAUUUUAUGGUGGAAGCCAUGACUGGAUUUCGACUUGUUUUUCUUCUCUUUGCUUUACAUUCACUUCCACAGAAUAGAUUUUCUUCUGCACAGGCUAAAGUUUUUUUCUACCGUUAUGAACGAAUUUCUUACGAACAGAUGUGCCGAAUGUCUCGCUGUUUUUUUUUUUUGAUUUUUCCUUCCAACCCUUCUUAUCUGACCGAGAAAGACCCUCCCAAAUUAAAUUCAAUUAUAGUUUUUCAAAUUAACUUUCCAAUAAAAGAAAAUUGGAUAUAUAUAGAUAGACAGAUAUUUUAAAAAAUCUAACUCUCCACCUUAAAUUUCUCUUUAAAUCACGUGAUUGGGCAAUUAGAGAAGAACUGCGUUUGAAAAUUGAUUAGUCUACUUUCGCUCUUAGAAUUUUACUGGAAAAUUAGAUUUUUGUAUUUUUUGAAAGCUUUAUCCGAACCUUCUGUUUCCCUUCUCUUUUUUUCUUCUUUUAAACCAGGAUGGUAGUAUUUGUAUAGUUAUGCAGUUAGCGUACCACGAUGAAGGUAAAGCAUUUCUGCAACGUGGUUACCUUGACGACGACGUUUUAUAGUCGCGAAACCCUAUUGGAUGCUAACAUCGACCACCGACAGUUUGCAUCCACGUGAAGUGGGCUUUCCAGCCAGAUAGGUUUCAGUCUUCGGAAGGAAGAGGAUGCGGUUCAGGAACUGGCAAUCAUGAAGCUGCCUCAGUUGGUGAGUGAACGACUUAACACUUUUAAUAAUCAUUGUACUUAAUAGUAAUGGUACAGCCUCGAAUUUUAUCUAUUUUCCCCCCUUUAUCGAUUUAUUCGAUAAUCACGGAUAAACCUUACUUUUUCCGCUCAAUUAAGAUUUAUGUUUGUUUUGCCGACCGUAGUCCAGCCAGAUCAUUAAAGAAUCUCCUGGGGAAUUAAUAGUUUAGAGAUUCUAUUCCAUCUCUCUGAACGAAUGCUGAUGAAGAGAGAGAAGUUAAAUCAACAUACUAGAAUAAUUAAACGAUCGAUACAAUCCUGAUAGUAGUUUGCUUUCUGGUUUUUUUUUUUACGUUUAUAAUUUAGAUAAAAUAGAUUUGUCAAAAUUUCGAAAAGUGGGCGUGGCAAAAAUGAUUCAUCUGAAGUAUUAUAGGAUUUUAACUGGGGAAUCCACAGCUGCAACUACCUGGUUCCUUAUUAUCCUAAAUUGUAAAGAGAAAGCCGCUGUUCCGUUUUAUUUUCGACACGGGGAUUUUUAAUGGAGUUUUCAUCAAACUAUAUUUUUUUCUAAUUUAAUUCUGCAAAUUAUUUGAACGAUACUUAAUGGAGCUAUCUGGUUACACUUUCGCCAAAGCUGGAAACUCUUACGCAAAAGAUUACUUUUCCUACAAAAUGGAUGGGUUAAAACACUGGAGGUAAGUGAAAUUUCUCUUUUCUCAAUAGCUGAGGAGUCGAUUCGCAUCCUUACUUUUAAAAGAUUCGUAAGAUAUAUCUUUAGUUUUUUAAAACUUUCACCUAUGGAAAAACUGGUAAAUAGCGGAUAGAAUUUUUGGCGGGCACCAUACACCCACAACUGCGAGAAAGGGCCAUCCUUCUUAUCUGUUCAAAGGAUUUUUCUUGAAAUUCCAUUUAUUCUAUCUUUAGGUUCUAGAAUAAAAAAACUUUAGAAAAAUCAUAAAAAAAAACCCAUCCCCAAGGCUUUUGUAAGUCUCAUCUUUCCGUUUCUUCGAUAAUCUCUAUGUUUUGUAUAAGCAGGCUGGAGUAAAAAAAAAUAAUGGCUGGACAUCCUAAGUGCGUUUUCGAUGAGAAUUCUUAUUUUGAUGCUCGAAAACUUUCAUCUUUGAAAAAUACGAAAAGCCACAUGGACUCGGUUUAUUCGAAAUUAAUAUAUGCGAAUUAUUUUACUGCGUAAAGCAAAUAUUUCCUUAAUUUCUCCAAAGGAAAAACGAAUUCUUUAUCGUGUGUAAGUAUCGAGCUGGCUCUACUAAAUGCCUAGAGUAAAUAAUGAAUAAUUUUCCGUCAUUUAUAAAACUAUUCCUUUCAUUUAAGAAAUCACAUUUAAUCUUACCGUCA